UUACAUCGAAUUCUCUUCAGAUUGAAUGAAUCUUUCGCCUUUUACUAAAGACUUCCAUGGAGAGGAACAACUCUGAGUCUCAUAGCAAUUUUUUGAGGCCUUGCCCUGGCAAGGCU
Molecule: small nuclear RNA, 116 nt
Organism: Delphinapterus leucas (beluga whale)
Lineage: Eukaryota; Metazoa; Chordata; Mammalia; Artiodactyla; Monodontidae
Gene: U5
Rfam family: U5 spliceosomal RNA
About the family: U5 RNA is a component of both types of known spliceosome.
Source: Ensembl